AAGUCGUAACAAGGUUUCCGUAGGUGAACCUGCGGAAGGAUCAUUAACACGUAUCCAAACGUUAAACCCCCCUGUGAACCUUCAGUCGUACUCGUACGUCCGUUAGAAAAAGCAGCAAUCCCUGGUAAAUCAUCGCCGAACAGUUUUCGAUUCAGGGACGUCUGCAAGGAGCGUGCAUGUUGUGCGUGUAAGUGGCCUGGCAUCCCCAAGCAGUUAGUGUCUGAAAGUGUCACUAACGUUAGUGUCUGAAAGUGUCACUAACAUGUGUAAGGAUGACGCAGUCACGAUCGUUGGAGGCCCACACGGCCGACGACCGGGUCACUGGGUGCAAGCCCCUUUAUCACACCCCGGUCGAACGCCGAAACCGAACAACUGUUAACAAUGGAUAUCUUGGUUCUC
RNAcentral lists this unclassified non-coding RNA (399 nucleotides) under fungal sp. RNAcentral describes it as "partial internal transcribed spacer region". The stretch from base 1 to 46 matches the Rfam family "Eukaryotic small subunit ribosomal RNA", at positions 1786 to 1831 of the family's 1831-position model. Lineage: Eukaryota; Fungi. The record is from RNAcentral.